CAGCCGCCGCGGUAAUACGUAGGUGGCAAGCCUUGUCCGGAAUUAUUGGGCGUAAAGCGCGCGCAGGUGGUUUAAUAAGUCUGAUGUGAAAGCCCACGGCUCAACCGUGGAGGGUCAUUGGAAACUGUUAAACUUGAGUGCAGGAGAGAAAAGUGGAAUUCCUAGUGUAGCGGUGAAAUGCGUAGAGAUUAGGAGGAACACCAGUGGCGAAGGCGGCUUUUUGGCCUGUAACUGACACUGAGGCGCGAAAGCGUGGGGAGCAAACAGGAUUAGAUACCCGCGUAGUCCCUGUCUCUUAUAA
This 301-nucleotide ribosomal RNA is filed under the name uncultured bacterium. Its description in RNAcentral is "partial 16S ribosomal RNA". It matches the Rfam family "Bacterial small subunit ribosomal RNA", at positions 509 to 809 of the family's 1533-position model. The record is from RNAcentral.